AACGAACGUUGGCGGCGUGGAUUAGGCAUGCAAGUCGUACGCGAAAGAGGGGGCAACUCCUCGAGUAAAGUGGCGAACGGGUGAGUAACGCGUAGGAAACCUGCCUUCGAGAUGGGGAUAACACUCCUAACGGGGUGCUAAUACCGAAUGACACUGCGGGAUCGCAUGGUUCUGCAGUCAAAGGUGGCCUCUGCUUGCAAGCUACCACUCAAAGAUGGUCCUGCGUCCCAUAGCUAGUUGGCGGGGUAACGGCCCACCAAGGCGACGAUGGGUAGCCGAUCUGAGAGGAUGACCGGCCACACUGGGACUGAGAUACGGCCCAGACUCCUACGGGAGGCAGCAGUCGAGAGGCUUCGGCAAUGGGGAAACCCUGACCGAGCGACGCCGCGUGGAGGAUGAAGGCCUUUGGGUUGUAAACUCCUGUCAUGUGGGAAGAAACGCCACCGUUCUAAUGGACGGUGGUUUGACGGUACCACAAGAGGAAGCUCCCGGCUAACUCCGUGCCAGCCGCCGCCGUAA
Molecule: ribosomal RNA, 519 nt
Filed under: uncultured bacterium
Lineage: Bacteria
Description: bacterial SSU rRNA
Rfam family: Bacterial small subunit ribosomal RNA
Source: RNAcentral